CCCUUAGAUGUCCUGGGCUGCACGCGCGCUACACUGAUGUGUCCAGUAAGCACCUAACCUCUUCCGAAAGGAACGGGUAACCUUUGCAAAGCACAUCGUGAUGGGGAUAGAUUAUUGCAAUUAUUAGUCUUGAACGAGGAAUUCCUAGUAAGCACAAGUCAUCAACUUGCAUUGAUUACGUCCCUGCCCUUUGUACACACCGCCCGUCGCUCCUACCGAUGGAACGAUCCGGUGAAAACUCUGGAUUGGAGGGUUUGGUUGUUGCUUUGCAACACUACCCUUCGAGAAAUUGUUUGAAUCUUAUCGUUUAGAGGAAGGAGAAGUCGUAACA
This 331-nucleotide ribosomal RNA is filed under the name uncultured eukaryote. Its description in RNAcentral is "partial 18S ribosomal RNA". It matches the Rfam family "Eukaryotic small subunit ribosomal RNA", at positions 1470 to 1796 of the family's 1831-position model. The record is from RNAcentral.